GGGGGCCUUAUUUCUAAUGCAGCUAGCCCUACUGCUAUAUCUUUCCCCCACUGACUAGGGUUGGACCGCACAGUCUAAGCUAAUUCCAAUUGGCUAUUUUAAAGACAGCAGAGGUACAAGCCACACUGGCAGGACAGUUACAGAACAGGUGACUAAGGAUGACUAAGGACAGAACAGGUGACUAAGGAUGACGAAGGACAGAACAGGUGAUUAAGGACAGAGCAAGUGACUAAGGUUGACUAAGGACAGAGCAGGUGACUAAGGACAGAACAGGUGACUAAGGAUGACUAAGGACAGAACAGGUGAGUAAGGACAGAACAGGUGACUAAGGAUGACUAAGGAUAGAACAGGUGACUAAGGGUGACUAAGGAUAGAACAGGUGACUAAGUACAGAACAGGUGACUGAGGAUGAAUAAGGACAGAACAGGUGACUAAGGGUGACUAAGGACAGAGCAGGUGACUAAGGACAGGUGACUACGGAUGACUAAGGACAGAACAGGAGACUAUGGAUGACUAAGGACAGAGCAGGUGACUAAGGACAGAACAGUGACUAUGGAUGACUAAGGACAGAACAGGUGACUACGUAUGACUUAGGACAGAACAGGUGACUAAGGACAGAACAGGUGACUAAGGACAGAGCAGGUGAUAGAGGCUAGGAGCGGGCUGUUUACUGAAACUAGGGGUAAAGAGAUGUAAAGAAUGAGAAAGUUAAACUUUAAAAUGGAGAACAAAGAACAGGGAAGCUGAAUAUACUGACACAUUGGUUCUUUGGAGAGGAACUCAGAACUCAGCGUACUUAACAAUUUUCUCCCUCUUGAAUUUUAAAAGACAUUAACAGGCUAAACUUCGAAGAGGAAUUUAUUGUUUCCUACAGAUGACAAUUAAUAAUCAAUCUUGCAAUGUUUACUGAGGUCACUAUCCUCAGUGCUAUACGUGUUCUGUGUCCCAUAGACUUCAGGGUAACUACAUGGUCCUUAAACUUACAAUCUAAAGUAUUUCCAUGAGACCUUCCUUAAUAGACGUUUGUUCUCAGCCUUCUUUCAAUAGCAACAUCCUUUGUUCACAUGAGGAUGCAUAAAGAAAUACAAUACGUAAAAACAUGUUAUCAGGACCGCUCUCAUUAAGCUGGGUAGGGGGUGGUCACACGAGGGUUUCAGAUCCUCACCCAAGGAUCUCAUCUUUCUCUGCACAAGGGUAGGCUGCACAGCGCCUUUGUAGAUACUUCCGAGAUUGCUUGAAAACUGCCGGUCUGGCCCAGUCCCUCCUAUCACUGACAAAGAAGCUGAGAUCUCGAAAGACACGCCACCCAUGAGCAGUAACUCAGUGCAAAGAAUCUAAAUACCAGAACUCCUGACCCACAAGGCUUUCUCUGUGCAUCCAAGAUGUCCCAAACUGAAAUGGUCUAUGCACGACAGAGAACUUUGAUCACACUCAGAAAACGUCUUUGAAAAUGAAACAUGGCACAUUGCAGAGAUGUCACAAAUGAGACUUCCCUUGAUGGUCCCUGAGAGCGUCUUUGUGUUCCAUGUAGCUGCUCCCAUUAUUUUGGGCAGACAUUGACAGUCUUUGAUGAAACAUUUUUCACCUUGAGUUACAGUAAAUGUUAUCAUCUCAUGUUUUUGGAAAUGCCAUUCAAGGACUUGAGAGAUCAUUUCUAGAUAAUUGUUUAUAACCAUGCCCCUUAUAAUUUCAUUUGAGAUUAUAUGAGAAAAAUCUAAGCAUACCUAUUUAAUAAAGGAUUUGGACAACUGCAUCUCAAACUUUAAUACAAAUUCAAAUCACCUGGGGAUAUUGUUAACUGGCAGAUUCUACUUCAGCACAUCUGGGGCCAGAA
Molecule: long non-coding RNA, 1834 nt
Filed under: Homo sapiens (human)
Lineage: Eukaryota; Metazoa; Chordata; Mammalia; Primates; Hominidae
Description: HSALNT0132422
Source: RNAcentral